RNAcentral lists this ribosomal RNA (466 nucleotides) under uncultured Pseudomonas sp. RNAcentral describes it as "bacterial SSU rRNA". It matches the Rfam family "Bacterial small subunit ribosomal RNA", at positions 233 to 691 of the family's 1533-position model. The record is from RNAcentral. Lineage: Bacteria; Pseudomonadati; Pseudomonadota; Gammaproteobacteria; Pseudomonadales; Pseudomonadaceae.
AGGUCGGAUUAGCUAGUUGGUGGGGUAAAGGCCUACCAAGGCGACGAUCCGUAACUGGUCUGAGAGGAUGAUCAGUCACACUGGAACUGAGACACGGUCCAGACUCCUACGGGAGGCAGCAGUGGGGAAUAUUGGACAAUGGGCGAAAGCCUGAUCCAGCCAUGCCGCGUGUGUGAAGAAGGUCUUCGGAUUGUAAAGCACUUUAAGUUGGGAGGAAGGGCAGUAAGUUAAUACCUUGCUGUUUUGACGUUACCAACAGAAUAAGCACCGGCUAACUUCGUGCCAGCAGCCGCGGUAAUACGAAGGGUGCAAGCGUUAAUCGGAAUUACUGGGCGUAAAGCGCGCGUAGGUGGUUCAGCAAGUUGGAUGUGAAAUCCCCGGGCUCAACCUGGGAACUGCAUCCAAAACUACUGAGCUAGAGUACGGUAGAGGGUGGUGGAAUUUCCUGUGUAGCGGUGAAAUGCGU